UACUACUCACAGAAUGGAAAAGACUGA
RNAcentral lists this non-coding RNA (27 nucleotides) under Mus musculus (house mouse). The record is from RNAcentral. Lineage: Eukaryota; Metazoa; Chordata; Mammalia; Rodentia; Muridae.